Molecule: ribosomal RNA, 497 nt
Filed under: uncultured bacterium
Lineage: Bacteria
Description: partial 16S ribosomal RNA
Rfam family: Bacterial small subunit ribosomal RNA
Source: RNAcentral
GAUGAACGCUGGCGGCGUGCCUAAUACAUGCAAGUCGAGCGAACAGACGAGGAGCUUGCUCCUCUGACGUUAGCGGCGGACGGGUGAGUAACACGUGGAUAACCUACCUAUAAGACUGGGAUAACUUCGGGAAACCGGAGCUAAUACCGGAUAAUAUAUUGAACCGCAUGGUUCAAUAGUGAAAGACGGUUUUGCUGUCACUUAUAGAUGGAUCCGCGCCGCAUUAGCUAGUUGGUAAGGUAACGGCUUACCAAGGCAACGAUGCGUAGCCGACCUGAGAGGGUGAUCGGCCACACUGGAACUGAGACACGGUCCAGACUCCUACGGGAGGCAGCAGUAGGGAAUCUUCCGCAAUGGGCGAAAGCCUGACGGAGCAAAGCCGCGUGAGUGAUGAAGGUCUUCGGAUCGUAAAACUCUGUUAUUAGGGAAAAACAAAUGUGUAAGUAACUAUGCACGUCUUGACGGUACCUAAUCAGAAAGCCACGGCUAACUACGUG